This 254-nucleotide ribosomal RNA is filed under the name uncultured bacterium. Its description in RNAcentral is "partial 16S ribosomal RNA". It matches the Rfam family "Bacterial small subunit ribosomal RNA", at positions 524 to 776 of the family's 1533-position model. The record is from RNAcentral.
CACGUAGGGGGCGAGCGUUGUCCGGAAUCAUUGGGCGUAAAGAGCUCGUAGGCGGCUCGGUAAGUCGGGUGUGAAACCCCCAGGCUCAACCUGGGGACGCCACCCGAUACUGCUGUGGCUAGAGUCCAGUAGGGGAGUGUGGAAUUCCCGGUGUAGCGGUGAAAUGCGCAGAUAUCGGGAGGAACACCAGCGGCGAAGGCGGCUCACUGGCCCGGUACUGACGCUGAGGUGCGAAAGCGUGGGGAGCAAACAGG